AGUUAUCUGAACCUUCGGGGAACGAUAACGGCGUCGAGCGGCGGACGGGUGAGUAAUGCCUAGGAAAUUGCCCUGAUGUGGGGGAUAACCAUUGGAAACGAUGGCUAAUACCGCAUGAUGCCUACGGGCCAAAGAGGGGGACCUUCGGGCCUCUCGCGUCAGGAUAUGCCUAGGUGGGAUUAGCUAGUUGGUGAGGUAAGGGCUCACCAAGGCGACGAUCCCUAGCUGGUCUGAGAGGAUGAUCAGCCACACUGGAACUGAGACACGGUCCAGACUCCUACGGGAGGCAGCAGUGGGGAAUAUUGCACAAUGGGCGCAAGCCUGAUGCAGCCAUGCCGCGUGUGUGAAGAAGGCCUUCGGGUUGUAAAGCACUUUCAGUCGUGAGGAAGGUAGUGUAGUUAAUAGCUGCAUUAUUUGACGUUAGCGACAGAAGAAGCACCGGCUAACUCCGUGCCAGCAGCCGCGGUAAUACGGAGGGUGCGAGCGUUAAUCGGAAUUACUGGGCGUAAAGCGCAUGCAGGUGGUUUGUUAAGUCAGAUGUGAAAGCCCGGGGCUCAACCUCGGAAUAGCAUUUGAAACUGGCAGACUAGAGUACUGUAGAGGGGGGUAGAAUUUCAGGUGUAGCGGUGAAAUGCGUAGAGAUCUGAAGGAAUACCGGUGGCGAAGGCGGCCCCCUGGACAGAUACUGACACUCAGAUGCGAAAGCGUGGGGAGCAAACAGGAUUAGAUACCCUGGUAGUCCACGCCGUAAACGAUGUCUACUUGGAGGUUGUGGCCUUGAGCCGUGGCUUUCGGAGCUAACGCGUUAAGUAGACCGCCUGGGGAGUACGGUCGCAAGAUUAAAACUCAAAUGAAUUGACGGGGGCCCGCACAAGCGGUGGAGCAUGUGGUUUAAUUCGAUGCAACGCGAAGAACCUUACCUACUCUUGACAUCCAGAGAACUUUCCAGAGAUGGAUUGG
RNAcentral lists this ribosomal RNA (960 nucleotides) under Vibrio neocaledonicus. RNAcentral describes it as "bacterial SSU rRNA". It matches the Rfam family "Bacterial small subunit ribosomal RNA", at positions 60 to 1014 of the family's 1533-position model. Lineage: Bacteria; Pseudomonadati; Pseudomonadota; Gammaproteobacteria; Vibrionales; Vibrionaceae. The record is from RNAcentral.